UGUACCGAUUGACUGGGAAACUCAUCAAUUAUUAUCGAAAACCGAGUAAAGCUCUUAUGUAUGUGUCCAAUGGCGGGCCGCGCCUUCGGGUAGUUUUUAGAACCGGCGGAUUACAAAGGACAGGAGCCCUCAAAUCUUGUAUUCUCGGAGUUUCGUCGUGCUCUUCGUACAG
Molecule: small RNA, 172 nt
Filed under: human gut metagenome
Description: Bacteroidales-1 6S-Bacteroidales RNA suggested
Rfam family: Bacteroidales-1 6S-Bacteroidales RNA suggested
Source: RNAcentral